GAUGAACGCUGGCGGCGUGCCUAAUACAUGCAAGUCGAGCGAACGGACGAGAAGCUUGCUUCUCUGAUGUUAGCGGCGGACGGGUGAGUAACACGUGGAUAACCUACCUAUAAGACUGGGAUAACUUCGGGAAACCGGAGCUAAUACCGGAUAAUAUUUUGAACCGCAUGGUUCAAAAGUGAAAGACGGUCUUGCUGUCACUUAUAGAUGGAUCCGCGCUGCAUUAGCUAGUUGGUAAGGUAACGGCUUACCAAGGCAACGAUGCAUAGCCGACCUCAGAGGGUGAUCGGCCACACUGGAACUGAGACACGGUCCAGACUCCUACGGGAGGCAGCAGUAGGGAAUCUUCCGCAAUGGGCGAAAGCCUGACGGAGCAACGCCGCGUGAGUGAUGAAGGUCUUCGGAUCGUAAAACUCUGUUAUUAGUGAAGAACAUAUGUGUAAGUAACUGUGCACAUCUUGACGGUACCUAAUCAGAAAGCCACGGCUAACUACGUG
This 497-nucleotide ribosomal RNA is filed under the name uncultured bacterium. RNAcentral describes it as "partial 16S ribosomal RNA". It matches the Rfam family "Bacterial small subunit ribosomal RNA", at positions 28 to 507 of the family's 1533-position model. The record is from RNAcentral.